Molecule: non-coding RNA, 116 nt
Filed under: Chlorocebus sabaeus (green monkey)
Lineage: Eukaryota; Metazoa; Chordata; Mammalia; Primates; Cercopithecidae
Source: Rfam by way of RNAcentral
GCUGGGCGCGAUGGCUCACACCUGUAAUCCCAGCACUUUGGAGGCCGAGGCGGGUGGUUCACCUGAGGUCAGGAGCUGGAGACCAGCCUGGCCAACAUGGCGAAACCCCGUCUCUA